ACGGCUCAGUAACACGUAUAGGAAUUGGCGGGGGAGCACAUACUGCUCAGUAACACGUAUAGGAAUUGGCGGGGGAGCACAUACGGCUCAGUAACACGUGGCUAAUCUGCCCUUAGGACGAGAACAACCCCGGGAAACUGGGGCUAAUUCUCGAUAGGCGAAGAACUCCGGAAUGAGUCUUUACCCAAAAGACACCGCGUUAUCCUCGUGGUGUUGCCUAAGGAUGAGGCCGCGACCGAUCAGGUUGUUGGUGAGGUAAUGGCUCACCAAGCCUUUUACCGGUGCGGGCCGUGGGAGCGGGAGCCCGGAGAUGGGCACUGAGACAAGGGCCCAGGCCCUACGGGGCGCAGCAGUCGCGAAAACUUUGCAAUAAGCGAAAGCUUGACAGGGCUAUCCCGAGUGCCAUCCGCUGAGGAAGGCCUUUACCCAGUCUAGAACGCUGGGGGAAUAAGGAGAGGGCAAGUCUGGUGUCAGCCGCCGCGGUAAUACCAGCUCUCCGAGUGGUGUGGAUGUUUAUUGGGCCUAAAGCAUCCGUAGCUGGCUAGGUAAGUCCCUUGUUAAAUCCACCGAAUUAAUCGUUGGAUUGCGGGGGAUACUGCUUGGCUAGGGGACGAGAGAGGCAGACGGUAUUUUCGGGGUAGGGGUGAAAUCCUAUAAUCCCGGGAAGACCACCAGUGGCGAAGGCUGUCUGCUAGAACGCGCCCGACGGUGAGGGAUGAAAGCUGGGGGAGCGAACCGGAUUAGAUACCCGGGUAGUCCCAGCUGUAAACGAUGCAGACUAGGUGUUUGGACGGCCACGUGCCGUUCUAGUGCCGCAGGGAAGCUGUUAAGUCUGCCGCCUGGGGAGUACGAUCGCAAGAUUGAAACUUAAAGGAAUUGGCGGGGGAGCAC
RNAcentral lists this ribosomal RNA (891 nucleotides) under uncultured archaeon. RNAcentral's name for it is "bacterial SSU rRNA". It matches the Rfam family "Archaeal small subunit ribosomal RNA", at positions 1 to 879 of the family's 1478-position model. The record is from RNAcentral.